GUAGAAUUUCGGCAGCACAUAUACUAAAAUUGGAACGAUACAGAGAAGAUUAGCAUGGCCCCUGCUCAUGUGUUUUUGUUUUUAAGGAAACCCUGCUACAUUUU
Small nuclear RNA from Mesocricetus auratus (golden hamster), 104 nucleotides. The record is from Ensembl. NCBI's taxonomy places the organism in Eukaryota, Metazoa, Chordata, Mammalia, Rodentia, Cricetidae.